AAGAGUUGGUGCUGCGGUUGCGGGCUAAGGACUUAGCAAAGCCCUUAGCUUGAGGAAAGUCCGGGCUCCUGAAAGGUCAGGCUUGCUGGGUAAUUCCCAGUGCGGGUGACCGUGAGGAUAGUGCCACAGAAACAUACCGCCAAUGGAAAGGCGGAAGGCGGAAGGCAGAAGGCGGAAUUUAAAUUCAUCCUUCAUUCUUCAUCCUUCAUCCUUUUACAGGUAAGGGUGCAAAGGUGCGGUAAGAGCGCACCAGCAGCAUCGAGAGGUGCUGGCUCGGUAAACCCCGGCUAGGAGCAAGGUCGCAGGGGUCAUGGUUGACCUUUUUCCAGCCCCGCUUUUGGUGUACCGCUAGAGGCAACUGGUAACAGUCGUCCCAGAUAGAUAACCGCCCGUUGAUGUUCGCAUCAGCGAGAACAGAACCCGGCUUACGGCUGACUCUUUCCA
This 444-nucleotide RNase P RNA is filed under the name Adonisia turfae CCMR0082. Its description in RNAcentral is "RNase P RNA component class A". It matches the Rfam family "Bacterial RNase P class A". Rfam says of the family: Ribonuclease P (RNase P) is a ubiquitous endoribonuclease, found in archaea, bacteria and eukarya as well as chloroplasts and mitochondria. Its best characterised activity is the generation of mature 5'-ends of tRNAs by cleaving the 5'-leader elements of precursor-tRNAs. The record is from RNAcentral. Lineage: Bacteria; Bacillati; Cyanobacteriota. RNAcentral also lists the same sequence under 1 other name.